UCAGCUCACCGUUGAGCUUCAUCGGCGAGCUGAAGCUCAGCUCGCCGAUCGCGACGCUGAAGCGUCGCCGUUCAGCUUCAUCGGCGAGCUGAAGCUCAACAGCGACGCUUCAGCGUCGCGAACGCGACACUCAGCUCGCUAGGAACUCCUGAAAAACGGCCUCCCUCCCCAGGAACUCCUCGACGAUCUCUGCAAUCCAAACAUGAUAACACUUAUGGGAUUCAUGUUCUUUGUCGUUUCAGCACUGCUUAGCUAUGAAAACAUAUGCUGGAAUUUCUGGUUAGUUGUGUCUACAUCUUUGGUAUUGUUGGUCAUAAAUUUGUAGUGUCCUCCUAUGAGGUUUUUGGACAACAUAGCUAUCAAGCCCAUCCUUCUUGCACUCCUUUCCUAGUACCUUUUUUUUUUUACUCUUAAGCGGGUAAAUAUAACAUUUGUAGUGUUGGCUAAUUCUGUGACAAAGUUUGUGUGUAAAUUGUAAGUUUUUCCAUAAAUUCAUGGAUACACAUAAUUAGAGUGAUUAAAAAAAAAAAAAAAACCUUUCCAUGGAACAUUUUAUUGAAGGUAAUUUUAGGAUUUUAAUUGUUAUUAUUAGAAUUUGAAAUUAUUCAUUGAUUUCCUUAUAAAUUUAAUACGUGGUUGUAUCGUUUGAAGAUAUAGAUGAGGUAUGUGCUCUCUCGCUCUUCACACACUUGACCACCUUGUUGAAUGAUAUGUAAUGCUGAGUUAUGAGUUUUUUAUUUUUAUUUUUUUUAUGAAGAUACGAAGGAGUCAGCAUGCAUUCAUUAAUCCUGCUAUUACAAUUAUACUUCGCAUGGGUGCUGGUGGACAUGGUGUACCUCCUUUAGGAAGUCCUGAUGGUUAGUAAUUGUUUUUGAAUGCUUGAAGGGGUUUUUAUUAUAUAUCUUUUUUGAAGUUAAGAUGUACAAAUCCUGUGCUUGACAUGAAAGUAGCUUUUCGUGAUAACUUUUCUUUUUCGUUCGAAAGGCAUGAUUAUGUUUUUAUAAUGAUGUAGUGGGCUUAGAUAUAUUGUGUAGGUAGUAUCAAAUUAAAAUAUGGUG
This is a long non-coding RNA of Quercus lobata, 1058 nucleotides long. RefSeq lists it as uncharacterized. The transcript has 4 exons. NCBI's taxonomy places the organism in Eukaryota, Viridiplantae, Streptophyta, Magnoliopsida, Fagales, Fagaceae. The record is from RefSeq and is a predicted model, not a curated record.